ACAGGGGAGGUGGCGGUGGUGGCCCUCGCCUGUGGCCCCCGUGCAACUUGCACUCGAACUCGUCGCCAUGGAGGAGCUCCAGGAGCCCCUGAGAGGACAGCUCCGGCUCUGCUUCACGCCAGCUGCCCGGACUAGCCUCUUACUGCUCAGGCUCAACGACGCUGCGCUGCGGGCGCUGCAAGAGUGUCAGCGGCAACAGGUACGGCCGGUGAUUGCUUUCCAAGGCCACCGAGGGGUAAGUGCGAGCUCAGGGUGUGUGAGCGAGGUGAGGGCGAGGGAGCAUAAACGUGGGCUGGAGGUGGAAGAUGCGGUCGGGGCCGGAGGCUGCGAAUGGUCACGGUCUGAGGUAGUUCCGAGAAAUGAACUCCAAGUGGGGCGAGGAGGCUGCUGGGGUUGUCCCAGGGGGCUGUGGUUUGAGGGGACUGUGCUGUUUCAGCCUCCUGGGGAACUCAGGCCCAGCUGCACCUGGUGUGCUAACGAGCCCUGUGGGACGCGUCUUAGUCUUACUUAGACUGGCUCCCGGACGAGUGGCGGCGGUAGGAGGGGGAGGGGCUGACUUCAUGGGGCUUACC
This 572-nucleotide small RNA is filed under the name Pongo abelii (Sumatran orangutan). RNAcentral's name for it is "retained intron". Lineage: Eukaryota; Metazoa; Chordata; Mammalia; Primates; Hominidae. The record is from RNAcentral.